ACCUUUAAUCUGACACCUCUCAAUGAUGGACGACAUGACGUUUGAUGAAAACAACAACACAUGCAGAUCCUGCAGAAUAAGUACAAUAAUGACACUUAAACAGCUCAUUUUCCUGCUCAUCUGCACAUAAAUCUGACAGGCAGACCGGUAAAAUGGAGGAAUCCAGCAUGUCAACGCGAUUCACCUCUGAGAUCAGUGAAGUGUUGUGGACUGUAAGCCUGUUGAACAGAAGCAGAGACGUGUGGACAGACACUGACUGUACUGAUGAUGAUCAUCUGCUGCUGCACAGGCUGUAAAGUAUAACCCCUGCUGGACACGGCUCCGGAAGCUCCAGGGGGAGACCGAACUGGUAUCCCCCCUUCUUCAGGCGCGCCUCACACUCACUCACCAUUCACACAUAUCGCAGAGUUCUGGCUGGGACCGAUACCAGCAACCCCUGAAGCCGUGGGGCAGCGCUCUUACCACAGAGCCACAGAUCUCCUGUCUGAACACCUGCUGGAACUGAUGUUUGGCUGCUGACCUGUGUGUGAGCUGAUUCAAUAAAACAAGAUACAAGUCAGAUGUGAACUCUUGUCUUUAUGAGUCUCUUCCUCAGAGAACUUGUGUUUAUUGACUCGCCCAUCAUGGGUUUCACACCAGCGUCCAUCAUCAGGAUGGUGAAUAUAAUGAGCUGAAGGUGGACAUUAGCCACAGUGAGGAUUGAACCCGGGUCUUCUUGAUUAAAGCCCAACACUUUAUGACAUGAGCCACCAAGUCUGAUGUUGGAGGGGUGAUCU
Molecule: long non-coding RNA, 776 nt
Filed under: Danio rerio (zebrafish)
Lineage: Eukaryota; Metazoa; Chordata; Actinopteri; Cypriniformes; Danionidae
Description: lncRNA si:dkey-14d8.23 (ENSDARG00000101565.2)
Source: RNAcentral